UACGUAGGUGGCAAGCGUUGUCCGGAUUUAUUGGGUUUAAAGGGCGCGUAGGCGGCCUGAUAAGUCGGGGGUGAAAUCCUGUGGCUUAACCACAGGGCUGCCUCCGAGACUGUCGGGCUCGAGCACAGUAGAGGCAGGUGGAAUUCCCGGUGUAGCGGUGGAAUGCGUAGAGAUCGGGAAGAACAUCGGUGGCGAAGGCGGCCUGCUGGGCUGUUGCUGACGCUGAGGCGCGACAGCGUGGGGAGCAAACAGG
RNAcentral lists this ribosomal RNA (253 nucleotides) under uncultured bacterium. RNAcentral's name for it is "partial 16S ribosomal RNA". It matches the Rfam family "Bacterial small subunit ribosomal RNA", at positions 524 to 776 of the family's 1533-position model. The record is from RNAcentral.